AGCAGUCGCCGCGGGAAUACGAAGGGGGCUAGCGUUGUUCGGAAUUACUGGGCGUAAAGCGCACGUAGGCGGACAUUUAAGUCAGGGGUGAAAUCCCGGGGCUCAACCCCGGAACUGCCUUUGAUACUGGGUGUCUAGAGUAUGGAAGAGGUGAGUGGAAUUCCGAGUGUAGAGGUGAAAUUCGUAGAUAUUCGGAGGAACACCAGUGGCGAAGGCGGCUCACUGGUCCAUUACUGACGCUGAGGUGCGAAAGCGUGGGGAGCAAACAGGAUUAGAUACCCGCGUAGUCCCUGUCUCUUAUAC
RNAcentral lists this ribosomal RNA (303 nucleotides) under uncultured bacterium. Its description in RNAcentral is "partial 16S ribosomal RNA". It matches the Rfam family "Bacterial small subunit ribosomal RNA", at positions 507 to 807 of the family's 1533-position model. The record is from RNAcentral.